Molecule: long non-coding RNA, 1288 nt
Filed under: Marmota monax (woodchuck)
Lineage: Eukaryota; Metazoa; Chordata; Mammalia; Rodentia; Sciuridae
Source: RNAcentral
CCUCUCUCCAUCUGGAAGGGACAUCCUCGCAGACAUCAGUGGUAGCAAGGUCUUGGCCCAGGGGCUCCUCCCAUCUCCCCUGGCCUUUGAUGGCCUGGGGCACUGCUCGCUGGGCCAUGGUGCCCUGAGUCCUGGCUACAGCCCUCAGAGGCAAAUGGAGACCCCGCAGCCGCCACCUCCACCUCUGCCUGGACCCUGAGCCCAUGGCGGGCACAGAUGCGGCACUCUCGUGCUACCCCGUAGCCUCCACUCCUAGAGCUGCCAUGUCCCAGUCUGUCCCCUGCCACCGCUGCCCCAGGGAAUCCAUUGUGGCCAUUUCUCUUUGUUCAGACAGAGAAACCAGCAAACCAGAAGGAACCCACCACGGCCCACACCGUGAAGCUACCGGGAGCCCUGUUCAGUGUCACAGAGGUAGGUGCUCUGAGGACAGGAAGAUCACCUGUGGGCGCAGACUAGGGUGGGUGGGGAGCUUCUGUUGCCUGAGGCCAUUAGGGUCCAGUGAGAAGGAAUUGGAGGCCCAGAGGGCUGACAGAUGACAUCUUGGGCAUCCUCAAGGAAGGAAACAAGAUGGCUGCCUAGAGCUAAAAAAAAAAAAACGCUAGGGGAGCUUUGGCCAGGGGAAGGCCAAGUGGUCAGUGUGGUCUCUGUUGGGAGCCCUCACUCUGCUCCCAUAGGGGCAGCCGUCUCGGACACAGGUGAGGGCGUAGGUAUUGCUGCAGAAACAGGCCGCAGGCCAGACGGAGCAUGGGCUGCAGCUAUCCGGCUCUAGGUCUGCGCCAGCAAAGGACCCUGUCUUCAUUUCCCUCCUGUGAUGGUCAGAGAAGUUCACUACAGGAAAUUCUAAAGUACACAGCUACGUGACUAGAACCUGAAAGUCACCUACAACUGGGAUGACCACGUGGGUUACCGUCCACACUGACCUGCGAGCUGGGGUGUAGCCAGGUGGGUGCCAGGGUGCAAUACAGUUACUGCAGGUCUAAGGACCAGAGCUGGAGGUUCCAAUUGUCCUUGGCACAGUGAGCAACCCUGCUCAGCAUUCCUGUGUCCCACUCAGUGGCAACCACUUUGGGGACAAGCCUUCUUAGAUGUUUUUUCUGUGCACUGACACUCCCAUUUUGGUUUGCAGCAUCCCUGCAGCAGGAACACGCUUGCUGCCCACCACUGCCUUGUUAUGUAGUCUUCCUUACUCAGGAGAUGCUUUGAUACACUUUCCUGAUCUCUUAAAGUGGACGUGGGAGCUACUUACAAUUUUGUGCUGUUAGAAAUACCUCAGGGUUAUACAGUGGAG